UCAUUCUAAAAGGCAAAGGCUAUUAACAAGAGAGAAGCUAUUUUAAUUCAAAAAUAUAAAACACAAUAAGAUAUUUUCACUUUGGGAACUUCACUCCAUCACUCACUCCUCUGCUUCUUUGAACUCAUCUUCUGAGAGCUCACUUCUUCAAUGGCUACAUUUCUCCUCACCAUCGCUUCACCGUUCAGAACUCAUCUUCUGAGAGAUCACCUCUCCGAUGGCUAUAUUUAUCUCAUCAUCGCUUCACCGCCACAUCAACUUUGUAAAAUUCAACUAGCUUAUCAGAUUCGGAAUUGGGAUAAUCAUUUUAAGUAUCUUGGAGAUGCUUCAAAUUCAAUUCCUGGAUCGAAAAGACUCAGUGCCGACGAUCGUUCGGGGUCACCGUUCCGUCUGACUCAGUGGUCGAAUCGGAUGCCGAAUUGUGAAUUUAUUGAGUCAAUCAUAUGGAGUAUACAACAUCAAUGAGCUAGUAUUACAAUAGUAGCAUGUUGAUACAGAAACGACAUAUAGAUGUGCUUCCCAUGAGAUGAUGGUCUUUGGAGCCAUAGGUGCCGGUGCCUGAAAUGUUGUUCAGAGAGCAAUUCACAUUCCAACUCAUAGGAUUAUUGCUUUGUAGAAGAUAAAUAUUUUUGAGAAGGUUGUGAAGGUUUGCUGACUCUGUGUUACUCGAGUGCAAGUUCAGUCUGGUGUCAUGACCACAAAAAGAGGAACAAUCGAUGGAUGGCUCUAGAGAUUCAUUCUCCUUCUUCCCUUCUUAUGUGCCAAGUGAUGCGGCUGGUGAUCCAUUUUCCUCCAUGGACACAAGAUCGUCUGGUGAUAAGUGUUUGUAGUGGAAACUUAAAAGUGUCUCAUAAUCUUAUUAGUUAAUUAAUUUCUAAUGUAAUUGCAUGAUUGAAUGGCACAAGUAAACUCUCCCAGCCAAAUGAUAUACAAACAAUUCAUGUUAGCAAUGUAAAGGGUUCUCUCUUAAUUUUUUUUAAUUGUUGGCAACAGUUGUUUACUUGUCUUA
Long non-coding RNA from Solanum pennellii, 1009 nucleotides. RefSeq lists it as uncharacterized. Lineage: Eukaryota; Viridiplantae; Streptophyta; Magnoliopsida; Solanales; Solanaceae. The transcript is spliced from 4 exons. The record is from RefSeq and is a predicted model, not a curated record.